UGCGUAUCCCGAAAAUACGAAACGUUCGUCGAAGUGCUCGCAGUGUGUACAGUGACAAAUUUGUACCCGGAUUUUCCUCGACGAUCGCGGCCUUUCGCGAGCGACAAAACGCUGCGCGUCGCGUCUCGCGUCGCAGUUUGUGACCGCGUUUGUCUCCAACGCCGCGAGUUUGCCCGUCGUUUCGCGUUCGUUUCGAGCCCGCCGAUCCCUCGUAUGUACGUGCUCCUCGCUCGUUCCCUUCGGGCGUACGCGUUAAUCUUUCCUCGUCGCGUGUUUACCGACCGAGUGCUCGACCAUCUCGUCUUUUUCCCUUUUUCUCUCUUUUUUUUUUUUUUUUGCUAUACGCGUUGUGCGCGAGGCUGGUGCCCCGGGUUCGUUCCCGCGGCUCCCGGAUCCAUCUAUCUCUCUCUCUCUUUCUCUCUCCGUACCCUGUGUCCUCGCCGUCGACGGAUUCGUCAUCGUCUCGUCAUCGCCUCGGCUGCCUCGGUGUUGACAGUGAUAUUAUGUGAUCGAGCCUUUGGUCUUGCCGCAUAGUUGAGUGCUCCAAGAGUCCAGCAGUGCGAGAAGCGUCGUCGAGUAACCGGCGUCUCGAGAGAGACGAGACGGGGACCCCGAAAAUAACGGACCUAUUAAUAGGGCUAUCUCCACUCUCGGCGCCGCUCCGCGUGUGAACUUGAAGAUAGCGGGCCGACGGAUUCGCUCCGAGAGGAGGGCUUACCGCUGGCGCCGGGAGAGGGGAAAUUCUCGGCCACUGAGGUCCGGACGCUCGGCAACUUGGAUGGGAUCAACGGCGAGAAGAAGGAAACACGGAGGCGGCAGCACGCAGAGGGUAUCGAGAGAGAAACCGUCGAUCGGUCGCGUAAAAGGCCGAUGAAGGAGAGAAGAAGAAGAACUCCGUUCGAUCUUGUCGGAAGCGCGCGACCCCGAGAGUGUUUCCCUUCUCGGAUCUCGACAAUUUUUCACGUGCGUGUGGCGAAUAUUUUCCGAAGUCUCCCAGUCUCUCUCUCUCUCUCUCUCUCUCUUUCUUUCCCCUUCCGCAAACGCAGGGCGUACAAUGAUUGAAAUGAUGACGAUUGAUUUAUCGUAUUGAUUUAUAUUUAUCGAAGGUAAAGUCAUUGACAAGAAUGUUUAAUGCAUUGUAUAUUAAUGUCUUGUAUAUUUUUUUAACAUUGUCCUUUCGUUAAUGUCGAUUGCCGGUUGUUGGAUAAUUCGAUUACGGUCGCAUUAAUUUCGACGGUUGCCGAAAUUUGGCGGGGCUCGAUCGCCAACGCUGAAGGCGAGCGAUGAAAACGUAGGCGACGUUGAUAGCGCGGUUCCGUCGUGGGAACGAUAACGAGCUCCCGAGCGCGGUGCGGCGGCAACGGGGACGAUAUUAAUAACGGCGAUGACGAGUCGCAGGUGGAAUACAGAGCGCGGGAGGUGCGCGGGUCAACGAGGAAAUUCUCGGGCGCGCGAGGUGCGCCUACCUUGAAUGCUACAGCGGAGGGAACGGGGUGGGACGAAUAGAAGAAGGGUGCGAGAGAGGGAGAGAGAGAGACGCUGAGAGAGAGAGGGGGGCGGUGGUAGGGGUAACCGAGAACGGAACGAAGCGUACCGAGCGAGAACGAAACCGAGGUGCACCAGCGACGCGUCGAGGCCGACAAACGCGGAUCGGAGAAAUAUGCGGACCUUUGUGCAAACAGCUGAACCGGAAGUCGAGCGGACAGCGCGCCGAUAGGCUCGGCCGGCUCUCGUACGACCGACUUCCAAGGCGACGGCGUGUCUCGCGUGUCUUGUCGAUUGCGUCUAGGUCGACCGAAUCGAAAGGCUGCGGAAUCGGACGAAUUUCCAUUUGCCAGACGUUGCCACGCGUUGCGAGAAUCCUUCUUCAUCUUCAUCUUCCUCCCCCGUCUUUUAACGCGUUGAGAAGAUAUACGGUGUACACGAAAUA
RNA transcript from Camponotus floridanus (Florida carpenter ant), 1930 nucleotides. It is a transcript of the gene named sulfated surface glycoprotein 185-like, with no coding region annotated. The record is from RefSeq and is a predicted model, not a curated record. Lineage: Eukaryota; Metazoa; Arthropoda; Insecta; Hymenoptera; Formicidae. The transcript has 2 exons.